GGCUGCUUAGCUCAGUCAGUUGAGUGUGAUGCUGAUAAUACCAAGGUCGCGGGUUCAAUCCCCGUACGGUCC
Molecule: transfer RNA, 72 nt
Filed under: Apaloderma vittatum (bar-tailed trogon)
Lineage: Eukaryota; Metazoa; Chordata; Aves; Trogoniformes; Trogonidae
Rfam family: tRNA
About the family: Transfer RNA (tRNA) molecules are approximately 80 nucleotides in length. Their secondary structure includes four short double-helical elements and three loops (D, anti-codon, and T loops). Further hydrogen bonds mediate the characteristic L-shaped molecular structure. tRNAs have two regions of fundamental functional importance: the anti-codon, which is responsible for specific mRNA codon recognition, and the 3' end, to which the tRNAs corresponding amino acid is attached (by aminoacyl-tRNA synthetases). tRNAs cope with the degeneracy of the genetic code in two manners: having more than one tRNA (with a specific anti-codon) for a particular amino acid; and 'wobble' base-pairing, i.e. permitting non-standard base-pairing at the 3rd anti-codon position.
Source: Rfam by way of RNAcentral